GAUGUAGGGAGCGAGCGUUGUCCGGAUUCAUUGGGCGUAAAGCGCGCGUAGGCGGCCUCGCAAGUCGGUUGUGAAAUCCCGGGGCUCAACCCCGGGACUGCGUCCGAUACUGCGAGGCUGGAGGUAGGUAGGGGAGAUCGGAAUUCCUGGUGUAGCGGUGAAAUGCGCAGAUAUCAGGAGGAACACCGAUUGCGAAGGCAGCUCGCUGGGACGUCACUGACGCUGAGACGCGAAAGCGUGGGGAGCAAACAGG
RNAcentral lists this ribosomal RNA (253 nucleotides) under uncultured bacterium. RNAcentral's name for it is "partial 16S ribosomal RNA". It matches the Rfam family "Bacterial small subunit ribosomal RNA", at positions 524 to 776 of the family's 1533-position model. The record is from RNAcentral.